Molecule: ribosomal RNA, 253 nt
Filed under: uncultured bacterium
Lineage: Bacteria
Description: partial 16S ribosomal RNA
Rfam family: Bacterial small subunit ribosomal RNA
Source: RNAcentral
UACAGAGGGGGCAAGCGUUAUUCGGAAUUAUUGGGCGUAAAGGGCGCGUAGGCGGCUUGGCAAGUGGAAGGUGAAAUCCCUCGGCUUAACCGAGGAACUGCCUGUCAGACUGGAUUGCUUGAGGCCGGGAGAGGCGAGUGGAAUUCCCAGUGUAGCGGUGAAAUGCGUAGAUAUUGGGAGGAACACCAGUGGCGAAGGCGGCUCGCUGGACCGGUUCUGACGCUGAGGCGCGAAAGCGUGGGGAGCAAACAGG